This 401-nucleotide long non-coding RNA is filed under the name Parus major (Great Tit). RNAcentral describes it as "lncRNA (ENSPMJG00000007224.1)". The record is from RNAcentral. Lineage: Eukaryota; Metazoa; Chordata; Aves; Passeriformes; Paridae.
CAGGAAAUGAAAGGAGGAACAAAAAGCAGUUGGGGAAGAUUUGCUGGAAUCUCAGCAGGUCCCUCCUGGGAACCUGUUGGCCACCGGGAUUCAAUCUGGUGGCUUUGGAAACGUUUCAAACACCGCGGCACGUCCAGGAGUCCAUCUGUCAGGUGAGCAUCUGUGGCUCACGAUUCCAGCUGUCCACAGAAUACGGGAAAUUCAAAAUGUGCUUCUGCUUUCUCAGAGCAAGGACAGGAUGGAGUCGUCCCUGGUCACCUGAAAUACGGCUGGAGCUGUCACAUAUCGGGGCUGGAUCAAUGCAGAGCUCCCUCAAUGCCGGCUGGAACACUUUGUGCAUUGAUGGGAUUUGCAUUAGAGAGAUAUACAGCACUUCAGGGAGGAGGAGUGGGAAUUCUGCU